AAUAAAAUCAAAUAGGUAAAAUAUGUGGUAUAUUAGAAAAUGAUCAAACCGCAGGUUCAGACAUUUGGUGUAUGUGCUUGGCUGAGGAGCCAAUGGGGCGAAGCUACCAUCUGUGGGAUUAUGACUGAACGCCUCUAAGUCAGAAUCCCACCCAGGCGGAACGAUACGGCAGCGCCGAAGGAGCCUCGGUUGGCCUCUGAUAGCCGGUCCCCCGCCGUCCCCGCCGGCAGCCCGCAUGGUGCGUCCGCCUCGGUGGCGUGCCCCCCCCCCCGCCGCGCGUCAGGACCGGGGGGGAGGGGGGGGGUCCGGUGCGGAGAGCCCUUCGUCCUGGGAAAUGGGGCGUGGCCGGAAAGGGGGCCGCCCUCUCGCCCGUCACGCACCGCACGUUUGUGGGGAACCUGGCGCUAAACCAUUCGUAGACGACCUGCUUCUGGGUCGGGGUUUCGUACGUAGCAGAGCAGCUCCCUCGCUGCGAUCUAUUGAAAGUCAGCCCUCGACACAAGGGUUU
This 508-nucleotide non-coding RNA is filed under the name Oryctolagus cuniculus (rabbit). RNAcentral's name for it is "Eukaryotic large subunit ribosomal RNA". It matches the Rfam family "Eukaryotic large subunit ribosomal RNA", at positions 2390 to 3399 of the family's 3401-position model. The record is from Rfam by way of RNAcentral. Lineage: Eukaryota; Metazoa; Chordata; Mammalia; Lagomorpha; Leporidae.